RNAcentral lists this ribosomal RNA (468 nucleotides) under uncultured bacterium. RNAcentral describes it as "partial 16S ribosomal RNA". It matches the Rfam family "Bacterial small subunit ribosomal RNA", at positions 28 to 507 of the family's 1533-position model. The record is from RNAcentral.
GACGAACGCUGGCGGCGUGCUUAACACAUGCAAGUCGAACGGAAAGGCCCUGCUUUUGUGGGGUGCUCGAGUGGCGAACGGGUGAAUAACACGUGAGUAACCUGCCCUUGACUUUGGGAUAACUUCAGGAAACUGGGGCUAAUACCGGAUAGGAGCUCCUGCUGCAUGGUGGGGGUUGGAAAGUUUCGGCGGUUGGGGAUGGACUCGCGGCUUAUCAGCUUGUUGGUGGGGUAGUGGCUUACCAAGGCUGUGACGGGUAGCCGGCCUGAGAGGGUGACCGGCCACAUUGGGACUGAGGUACGGCCCAGACUCCUACGGGAGGCAGCAGUGGGGAAUAUUGCACAAUGGGCGGAAGCCUGAUGCAGCAACGCCGCGUGCGGGAUGACGGCCUUCGGGUUGUAAACCGCUUUCGCCUGUGACGAAGCGUGAGUGACGGUAAUGGGUAAAGAAGCACCGGCUAACUACGUG